CCUACGGGACGCAGCAGUGGGGAAUAUUGCACAAUGGGGGAAACCCUGACCCAGCAACGCCGCGUGAAGGAAGAAGGCUUUCGGGUUGUAAACUUCUUUUCUCAGGGACGAAGCAAGUGACGGUACCUGAGGAAUAAGCCACGGCUAACUACGUGCCAGCAGCCGCGGUAAUACGUAGGUGGCAAGCGUUAUCCGGAUUUACUGGGUGUAAAGGGCGUGUAGGCGGGGACGCAAGUCAGAUGUGAAAAACACGGGCUCAACCUGUGGCCUGCAUUUGAAACUGUGUUUCUUGAGUAAUGGAGAGG
RNAcentral lists this ribosomal RNA (305 nucleotides) under uncultured bacterium. RNAcentral describes it as "bacterial SSU rRNA". It matches the Rfam family "Bacterial small subunit ribosomal RNA", at positions 338 to 657 of the family's 1533-position model. The record is from RNAcentral.